Molecule: long non-coding RNA, 260 nt
Filed under: Hordeum vulgare
Lineage: Eukaryota; Viridiplantae; Streptophyta; Magnoliopsida; Poales; Poaceae
Description: long non-coding RNA (HVUL_LNC003386)
Source: RNAcentral
GGAUGGUAUAUCACACAGAGUUUGGACCUAAGAAGAUUGAUGGUAUAUCACCAGGUCCGUAUGGUCCGUGUUCUGGAUUUUGUGGUGGCAUGUGUGAUUUCAAUAGAUUUGUGGAAUCUGUUAAAAAAUUCACACGCUACUGAAUUGUUGUUGUACUAUAGUUUCUUUAUAACUGUGAUUGUAUCAUAUAGUUUCUUUGUAUUUUUAGUUUUGCUCAACUUUAAAUUUUAUAUCUCACGGUACUGUUCUUACACUUUGCU